This 78-nucleotide transfer RNA is filed under the name Streptomyces phage Forrest. RNAcentral's name for it is "tRNA-Glu". It matches the Rfam family "tRNA". Rfam says of the family: Transfer RNA (tRNA) molecules are approximately 80 nucleotides in length. The record is from RNAcentral. Lineage: Duplodnaviria; Heunggongvirae; Uroviricota; Caudoviricetes; Stanwilliamsviridae. RNAcentral also lists the same sequence under 1 other name.
GCUCCGGUGGUCUAGUCUGGUCUAGGAUACUUGACUCUCAAUCAAGAGGUCACGGGUUCGAAUCCCGUUCGGAGUGCC